GAUGAACGCUGGCGGCGUGCUUAACACAUGCAAGUCGAACGAAGCAUUUGCGACAGAUUUUUUCGGAAUGAAGUUGCUUAUGACUGAGUGGCGGACGGGUGAGUAACGCGUGGGUAACCUGCCUUGUACUGGGGGAUAGCAGCUGGAAACGGCUGGUAAUACCGCAUAAGCGCACAAUGUUGCAUGACAUGGUGUGAAAAACUCCGGUGGUAUAAGAUGGACCCGCGUCUGAUUAGCUAGUUGGUGAGAUAACAGCCCACCAAGGCGACGAUCAGUAGCCGAGCUGAGAGGGUGACCGGCAACAUUGGGACUGAGACACGGCCCAGAAUCCUACGGGAGGCAGCAGUGGGGAAUAUUGCACAAUGGAGGAAACUCUGAUGGAGCGACGGCGCGUGAGUGAAGAAGUAAUUCGUUAUGUAAAGCUCUAUAAGCAGGGAAGAUAGUGACGGUACCUAAAUAAGAAGCUCCGGCUAACUACGUG
Molecule: ribosomal RNA, 481 nt
Filed under: uncultured bacterium
Lineage: Bacteria
Description: partial 16S ribosomal RNA
Rfam family: Bacterial small subunit ribosomal RNA
Source: RNAcentral